UAGCGUAAUCACUUGUUCUUUAAUUGAGGACUAGUAUGAACGGCCCCACGAGGACUACACUGUCUCCUUUUUCUAAUCAAUGAAACUGAUCUCCUCGUGAAGAAGCGAGGAUAAUUAUAUAAGACGAGAAGACCCUAUGGAGCUUUAAACAACCGGGGUACUUGCUAAUUCAUUUUAUAUCUUCUGAAAACUAAACAAAUUAAAGCAUCUUAUCACCAAGUUUUAGGUUGGGGUGACCACGGAGAAAAAAUUAACCUCCACGCUGUAAGAAAUCCACCAUCUUCUAAGCUUAGAGCCACAUUUCCAAGCAUCAACAUAUUGACUUACAUUGACCCAAUAAUUUGAUCAACGAACCAAGUUACCCUAGGGAUAACAGCGCAAUCUACUUUAAGAGCUCAUAUCGACAAGUAGGUUUACGACCUCGAUGUU
RNAcentral lists this ribosomal RNA (429 nucleotides) under Ranitomeya fantastica (red-headed poison frog). RNAcentral describes it as "partial 16S ribosomal RNA". It matches the Rfam family "Bacterial large subunit ribosomal RNA", at positions 1957 to 2533 of the family's 2925-position model. The record is from RNAcentral. RNAcentral also lists the same sequence under 1 other name. Lineage: Eukaryota; Metazoa; Chordata; Amphibia; Anura; Dendrobatidae.